RNAcentral lists this ribosomal RNA (1465 nucleotides) under Shigella sonnei. RNAcentral describes it as "bacterial LSU rRNA". It matches the Rfam family "Bacterial large subunit ribosomal RNA", at positions 1451 to 2925 of the family's 2925-position model. Lineage: Bacteria; Pseudomonadati; Pseudomonadota; Gammaproteobacteria; Enterobacterales; Enterobacteriaceae. The record is from RNAcentral.
UUACUGCGAAGGGGGGACGGAGAAGGCUAUGUUGGCCGGGCGACGGUUGUCCCGGUUUAAGCGUGUAGGCUGGUUUUCCAGGCAAAUCCGGAAAAUCAAGGCUGAGGCGUGAUGACGAGGCACUACGGUGCUGAAGCAACAAAUGCCCUGCUUCCAGGAAAAGCCUCUAAGCAUCAGGUAACAUCAAAUCGUACCCCAAACCGACACAGGUGGUCAGGUAGAGAAUACCAAGGCGCUUGAGAGAACUCGGGUGAAGGAACUAGGCAAAAUGGUGCCGUAACUUCGGGAGAAGGCACGCUGAUAUGUAGGUGAAGUCCCUUGCGGAUGGAGCUGAAAUCAGUCGAAGAUACCAGCUGGCUGCAACUGUUUAUUAAAAACACAGCACUGUGCAAACACGAAAGUGGACGUAUACGGUGUGACGCCUGCCCGGUGCCGGAAGGUUAAUUGAUGGGGUCAGCGCAAGCGAAGCUCUUGAUCGAAGCCCCGGUAAACGGCGGCCGUAACUAUAACGGUCCUAAGGUAGCGAAAUUCCUUGUCGGGUAAGUUCCGACCUGCACGAAUGGCGUAAUGAUGGCCAGGCUGUCUCCACCCGAGACUCAGUGAAAUUGAACUCGCUGUGAAGAUGCAGUGUACCCGCGGCAAGACGGAAAGACCCCGUGAACCUUUACUAUAGCUUGACACUGAACAUUGAGCCUUGAUGUGUAGGAUAGGUGGGAGGCUUUGAAGUGUGGACGCCAGUCUGCAUGGAGCCGGCCUUGAAAUACCACCCUUUAAUGUUUGAUGUUCUAACGUGGACCCGUGAUCCGGGUUGCGGACAGUGUCUGGUGGGUAGUUUGACUGGGGCGGUCUCCUCCUAAAGAGUAACGGAGGANNCAGGAGGUUAGUGCAAUGGCAUAAGCCAGCUUGACUGCGAGCGUGACGGCGCGAGCAGGUGCGAAAGCAGGUCAUAGUGAUCCGGUGGUUCUGAAUGGAAGGGCCAUCGCUCAACGGAUAAAAGGUACUCCGGGGAUAACAGGCUUAUACCGCCCAAGAGUUCAUAUCGACGGCGGUGUUUGGCACCUCGAUGUCGGCUCAUCACAUCCUGGGGCUGAAGUAGGUCCCAAGGGUAUGGCUGUUCGCCAUUUAAAGUGGUACGCGAGCUGGGUUUAGAACGUCGUGAGACAGUUCGGUCCCUAUCUGCCGUGGGCGCUGGAGAACUGAGGGGGGCUGCUCCUAGUACGAGAGGACCGGAGUGGACGCAUCACUGGUGUUCGGGUUGUCAUGCCAAUGGCACUGCCCGGUAGCUAAAUGCGGAAGAGAUAAGUGCUGAAAGCAUCUAAGCACGAAACUUGCCCCGAGAUGAGUUCUCCCUGACCCUUUAAGGGUCCUGAAGGAACGUUGAAGACGACGACGUUGAUAGGCCGGGUGUGUAAGCGCAGCGAUGCGUUGAGCUAACCGGUACUAAUGAACCGUGAGGCUUAACCUU